Molecule: long non-coding RNA, 914 nt
Organism: Bos taurus (domestic cattle)
Lineage: Eukaryota; Metazoa; Chordata; Mammalia; Artiodactyla; Bovidae
Source: Ensembl
ACUGCUCCAACUGGGAGGCCACAUCCAAACUCUGGAUGCACGCUGGACACACAGGGAGAAGGUCUGCACAUCCUGCUUCCUGAUAGGAAGAGUCCUGAAGUAACUAUCUCCUGUUCCCUGGGGACGACAAAGCUUCCCUUCAAAGGAAGUCUUCUUAUCCCCUCCUUGGGCUGAAACUUUCGUUGUAGGCCCGGCUGCCAGAGCGUCCACAGGCUCUGCUCCCCUGGGCACCCUCUGGCUGGAGAGGCUACUGAGCUCCAGAGCCAGGGAGGAGGAGACUGAUGCAAGAGGAGCCCUAAGCACGGGAGAAUCGCCCAGAUGUCACCGGCUCCCUGCCCUGCGAGCUCAAGAUCUAAGACAGAUGGUGGCCGCAGAUGUGACCUGGACAUUCCGCAGAAUACAACGCGUUACCCCUGGCCCACUGGAUAGAGCGGGAGGCCUCACCCUUGGCAGAGACUACGGCUUUAGACACUGAAACAAACAGCUGUCCCUGCUAGCGGAGCACACUUCCGUGCUCCUUAGCCCUUUCGUGGCAGCUUCUCUGCCUGGAAUGUGGCAAAAAUUGUGUCAUCUUCCCCACUGAACAAAACCUCCUCUAGGAUCGUGACUCUGCUCCUCUUUGUUCCCCCAGCGCUAGCCACUAGGGCUUUUGAAAGCCUGAAGGAAGAAACGAGAGCAUCUCCUGUGGACGGGGUGCUCAGGGCACUGUGCUGGCCAGUGGUGGACUUUCUGGACUCAAAUGACUCACUGUCAGCUUGUCACUUUCUGCCCUGCUGAUGGGAGGAAUGCCCAAACCACUUGGGCUGGUGGGGAAGGGAUAUCCAACCCUGUUUCAGAACCUGGAGGGCGCCUUGGGAGCCCUGCCUGAGUUCCCUUCCAGAAGCCAGGGGGCUCCCUGGAGAACUGUGGCUGGC